GAUGAACCACCCAAACGUUAUUCGGAAUUACUGGGCUUAAAGGGUGCGUAGGCGGUGCGGAAAGUUGGGUGUGAAAUACCUCAGCUUAACUGAGGAAUGGCGCUCAAAACUACCGUGCUCGAGGGAGAUAGAGGUGAGCGGAACUUAGGGUGGAGCGGUGAAAUGCGUUGAUAUCCUAAGGAACACCGGUGGCGAAAGCGGCUCACUGGAUCUCUUCUGACGCUGAGGCACGAAAGCUAGGGUAGCGAACGGG
Molecule: ribosomal RNA, 253 nt
Filed under: uncultured bacterium
Lineage: Bacteria
Description: partial 16S ribosomal RNA
Rfam family: Bacterial small subunit ribosomal RNA
Source: RNAcentral